GUCAACGUCGAUCAAUUCAGCGUCAUCAUGAUAUCCGCAUUCAGCAUCUUCAAACAUCUUUGAGAUCUGGAAGGUAUACGUUACAAGAAUUUCUACACGCUGCAGUGAAUCGGGAUCUUCAUGAUUCUAUAUUUUUAAUUUUAAAUAAUAAUCAACGUGAACAGGUGAACUACCAAAUCUUGGCAACAUCGAACAUCUCAACCUCAUUUUGC
Molecule: long non-coding RNA, 212 nt
Organism: Microplitis demolitor
Lineage: Eukaryota; Metazoa; Arthropoda; Insecta; Hymenoptera; Braconidae
Exons: 3
Source: RefSeq, a predicted model, not a curated record